GGAGACAGCCCUGCCUCCCGUCUUCUCAGCAAAGGCCUGGAGCUGCCACCUGUGUGCCCAGGGCCCAGUCCCUCCAGCCCUGAGCCUGCAAGCUUAGUGCAGGUGACAUUCCAAAGUCCCCUCCUCCCUCAGCUCUGAGCCCAGCUAGCCACAGUCCCCCGGCCCCUCCCAUCAUCCGCUUCUGCCCCCAGGGAUGCCUCCUUGCCUCAGUGGCCCAUCGGCUUCUCCAGGCGCCCCCCCCUCUCCCCCCGCCGUGGGCUCCGACCCCCUUGGCCGGACUGUGCUCUCUGGACCCAGUUUUUGACCGCAUCUGUCUUGCGAGCCCCUCCAAACCCUCACACCAUCAAAACUCUGGGCGGUUCUGACGCCUUCCCCUGUCUGAGACUGUUUCCUCAUCUGUUACUCAUCUGUUAAAUGGAGACAAUCAGGGCACCCUCCUUCCGGGCACCACUCAGAAAGGGGGUCUCUAAACAAAGCUGUAGCCUCUUCUUUCUGAAUGUCAACUGGAGCAGCCCGCUUCCCGGCCACCCCCCCCCCCGCCCCCCGCAGGUGUGUUGAACUGAAGGUGGCAGGUGUAGCCAAUUUUCUUUCCCAGCAUUUUCUCUCCCAGCACCUGCCCACCCCCUCCUCUAUCACCCCAGCCAUGGAAGCAUGCUUUCGUUGGGUCUGGGUCCCAAGACGCGGCCCGUGACAGCACCGCCUGCCGUUUGAUGCAUGACAAGUCAGGGGCUGGGGGGUUGCAUGGCCUCCUUACCGCGAGACUCAGCCAGCUCCGCAUCGUGGGGUCUGUCUCUUGUGACACCCCCUUUCCAGGCAGCAACGUCUGCAUUAUUGAAGCCUCUUUUGCUUGUAAGUGGCAGAGCCUGGGAAGGCCAGGGAAAGUCCUUCAGGCACAGCCGGAUCCAGGGCUCAGGUGAUAACAUCAGCUCCCUUUCUAUGUGUCUAGCUUUAUCUCCCUCCAGCUGUCGGCUUCCUUCUGUGGCUCUCUAAGGAGGGGGAGAUGUGGCUGUCGGCUGUUCCAGAUUUACUUCCUGCCAGUUGAGCAGAAAGAAAACUUCUCUGCCUCAGCAUUUCAGACAGUUCGGUGAGGUUUGACGAACACGGGUAGCCAUGGAAUCACCACGACAAUCAAGCUGCAAGGCAGCGCGUCACCCCCAGACUCCACUGCGCCGUCUGGAGCCACCCCUUCGUCCUGCUCCUGGGCAGCCACGGAGCUGAGUUCUGUCGCUACAGCUCUUCCCUGUCUCUGAACGCUGCAGAAGGGGAAUCGCAGAGGACGCAGCAUCGUGAGUCUGGUUUCCCCGGCUGGAAUUCCGGAUUCGUCUUGUCGUCAUGCACACCUUCCAUUUUAUGGCACAACGGUGCCCGGUUGUACAGCUGCACCACUUUGUUCAUUCGUUUCCCAGUUGAGGGAUAUUUGGGUUGUGCCCAGGUUUGGGCCACUAGAAAUAAAGCUUCCAUAAACA
This is a long non-coding RNA of Leopardus geoffroyi (Geoffroy's cat), 1466 nucleotides long. RefSeq lists it as uncharacterized. NCBI's taxonomy places the organism in Eukaryota, Metazoa, Chordata, Mammalia, Carnivora, Felidae. The record is from RefSeq and is a predicted model, not a curated record. The transcript is spliced from 2 exons.